Molecule: transfer RNA, 73 nt
Filed under: Cordylochernes scorpioides
Lineage: Eukaryota; Metazoa; Arthropoda; Arachnida; Pseudoscorpiones; Chernetidae
Description: tRNA-Val
Source: RNAcentral
UGGUUCCGCCCGGGAUCGAACCGAGAACCUUUCGCGUGUAAAGCGAACGUGAUAACCACUACACCACGAAACC